UACGGGGGGGGUAAGCGUUGUUCGGAAUUACUGGGCGUAAAGGGCUCGCAGGCGGCCGACUAAGUCAGACGUGAAAUCCCUUGGCUUAACCAAGGAAUGGCGUCUGAUACUGGACGGCUUGAAUCCGGGAGAGGGAUGUGGAAUUCCAGGUGUAGCGGUGAAAUGCGUAGAUAUCUGGAGGAACACCGGUGGCGAAGGCGGCAUCCUGGACCGGUAUUGACGCUGAGGAGCGAAAGCCAGGGGAGCAAACGGG
Molecule: ribosomal RNA, 253 nt
Filed under: uncultured bacterium
Lineage: Bacteria
Description: partial 16S ribosomal RNA
Rfam family: Bacterial small subunit ribosomal RNA
Source: RNAcentral